GACGAACGCUGGCGGCGUGCCUAAUACAUGCAAGUCGAACGCACUCUCGUUUAGAUUGAAGGAGCUUGCUCCUGAUUGAUAAACAUUUGAGUGAGUGGCGGACGGGUGAGUAACACGUGGGUAACCUGCCCUAAAGUGGGGGAUAACAUUUGGAAACAGAUGCUAAUACCGCAUAAAACCUAACACCGCAUGGUGUAGGGUUGAAAGAUGGUUUCGGCUAUCACUUUAGGAUGGACCCGCGGUGCAUUAGUUAGUUGGUGAGGUAAAGGCUCACCAAGACCGUGAUGCAUAGCCGACCUGAGAGGGUAAUCGGCCACACUGGGACUGAGACACGGCCCAGACUCCUACGGGAGGCAGCAGUAGGGAAUCUUCCACAAUGGACGAAAGUCUGAU
RNAcentral lists this ribosomal RNA (393 nucleotides) under uncultured bacterium. RNAcentral describes it as "bacterial SSU rRNA". It matches the Rfam family "Bacterial small subunit ribosomal RNA", at positions 28 to 387 of the family's 1533-position model. The record is from RNAcentral.